UUGACCAACAAUUUGUGAACAAAUGACUUUCUGUGCGCAUCAUUUAAUGCCUCGUGUCCUGCAUUGCAUUCGAGUCUGUUUGAAAUGUUUGCGACAAGUGUAAAAUGUAGACUUGGCUGUUAGCCUAGCAUGCUAGCUGGCUAGCAAAAAAAAAAAAAAAAAGCACUGAGUGAAAACUAGCCUUAGCCCUGUUAUUUUCGCAGCACCGUCAUGCGGCGACGACGAUGCCGGCUGACUUUGAAGUACAGAGGUGGAAAACAGCAGGAGCCAUCCCGGCUACCUGCUGCUUCCGAAGAGAGGGGGGCUGAACGAGCUAUUUGAUGGGGAACAAUGGGGGGAUUUGGGUGCGCUAAACCACAGCCAUGGCAACUGAGGCGGAGUGAUGGCCAUCAUGUGGAAUUAAAGGGGCAAAAAUAACACGGGGAAAGUGAAGGCUGUCCAAAAAAAACCCCCAAAACAGCGCUCAAGUUGAACAAAAUGGGCUACUCUCAUAAUGUUAAUUUCCACAAAAAGAGCCCAAAUUAACAAUGGGGUCCUCUUGACCUCGCCCCAAAUAAAUGUUUUCCAAGUGGGUGCCAUGUUAUGAGAUGGCUGCAAUUACUUUCUCCCAGGGCAGCUGAACGGCAUCUGUAAAGAUGGCAUUUACGCUCGGAGCUCAAAUUACAAAGUGCUGCCGCUAGCCUGAAAUGAUCUCAGACAUUAUCUUGAGACCACC
Hippocampus comes (tiger tail seahorse) is the source of this 715-nucleotide long non-coding RNA. RefSeq lists it as uncharacterized. Lineage: Eukaryota; Metazoa; Chordata; Actinopteri; Syngnathiformes; Syngnathidae. The transcript has 3 exons. The record is from RefSeq and is a predicted model, not a curated record.